RNAcentral lists this long non-coding RNA (410 nucleotides) under Capsicum annuum. RNAcentral's name for it is "long non-coding RNA (CANN_LNC015743)". The record is from RNAcentral. Lineage: Eukaryota; Viridiplantae; Streptophyta; Magnoliopsida; Solanales; Solanaceae.
CCAGUGUAUUCCCACCUAGUGGGGUCUGGGGGGGUAAGAUGUACGCAGUCCAUACCUCUACCUCUGAUGAAGUAGAAAGGCUAUUUCCGAUAGACCCCCAGCUCAAGGCACGAGAUACCACACAAACACAUAGUGCAGCACAGAAGCAGAUUACAUAACAUAAAUAUGGCACCCAUAAGUAAUAUAAAGUAGAGGAAAGCAGGGGAAAGCACACAGAUUCGUAAUACAACAUGGAACACGGAACACGGAAUCAUGACAAGAAUAAAACCCCCACCAAGUAAUUCCCUACACUAGCGACCCGAACUGGCCCUUAUCCUCUGCCGUAAUUCGCGUCCUCCAGACCUUCCUAUCUAGGGUCAUGUCCUCGGUGAGCUGUAACUGUUCCAUGUCCCGCCUAAUCACCUCNNNNN